GAUGAACGCUGGCGGUAUGCUUAACACAUGCAAGUCGAACGCACCUUUCGGGGUGAGUGGCGGACGGGUGAGUAACGCGUGAGAAUCUGGCUUCAGGUCUGGGACAACCACUGGAAACGGUGGCUAAACCGGAUGUGCCGUUGGGUGAAAGGUUAACUGCCUGAAGAUGAGCUCGCGUCUGAUUAGCUAGUAGGUGUGGUAAGAGCGCACCUAGGCGACGAUCAGUAGCUGGUCUGAGAGGAUGAUCAGCCACACUGGGACUGAGACACGGCCCAGACUCCUACGGGAGGCAGCAGUGGGGAAUUUUCCGCAAUGGGCGAAACC
Molecule: ribosomal RNA, 324 nt
Filed under: Nostoc sp. CCG13
Lineage: Bacteria; Bacillati; Cyanobacteriota; Cyanophyceae; Nostocales; Nostocaceae
Description: bacterial SSU rRNA
Rfam family: Bacterial small subunit ribosomal RNA
Source: RNAcentral